The sequence is a transfer RNA, 75 nucleotides long. It matches the Rfam family "tRNA". From Rfam's summary of the family: Transfer RNA (tRNA) molecules are approximately 80 nucleotides in length. Their secondary structure includes four short double-helical elements and three loops (D, anti-codon, and T loops).
GCCCCGUUCGUCUAGCCAGGUCAAGGAUGCCGGCCUUUCGAGCCGGCGGCCCGGGUUCAAAUCCCGGACGGGGCA